RNAcentral lists this ribosomal RNA (484 nucleotides) under uncultured bacterium. RNAcentral describes it as "partial 16S ribosomal RNA". It matches the Rfam family "Bacterial small subunit ribosomal RNA", at positions 30 to 507 of the family's 1533-position model. The record is from RNAcentral.
AUUGAACGCUGGCGGCAGGCCUAACACAUGCAAGUCGAGCGGAUGAAGGGAGCUUGCUCCUGGAUUCAGCGGCGGACGGGUGAGUAAUUCCUAGGAAUCUGCCUGGUAGUGGGGGAUAACGUCCGGAAACGGGCGCUAAUACCGCAUACGUCCUGAGGUAGAAAGUGGGGGAUCUUCGGACCUCACGCUAUCAGAUGAGCCUAGGUCGGAUUAGCUAGUUGGUGGGGUAAAGGCCUACCAAGGCGACGAUCCGUAACUGGUCUGAGAGGAUGAUCAGUCACACUGGAACUGAGACACGGUCCAGACUCCUACGGGAGGCAGCAGUGGGGAAUAUUGGACAAUGGGCGAAAGCCUGAUCCAGCCAUGCCGCGUGUGUGAAGAAGGUCUUCGGAUUGUAAAGCACUUUAAGUUGGGAGGAAGGGCAGUAAGUUUAUACCUUGCUGUUUUGACGUUACCAACAGAAUAAGCACCGGCUAACUUCGUG